CUACCACUGAGGAGUCCCACAAUAGAACGAAACGGCUGUCGAAUAG
Schistosoma mansoni is the source of this 46-nucleotide non-coding RNA. Lineage: Eukaryota; Metazoa; Platyhelminthes; Trematoda; Strigeidida; Schistosomatidae. The record is from Rfam.